AUACGUAGGUGGCAAGCGUUGUCCGGAAUUAUUGGGCGUAAAGCGCAUGUAGGCGGUUUGGUAAGUCGGUCGUGAAAAUGCGGUGCUUAACGCCGUAUGGCGAUUGAAACUGCUGAACUUGAGUGCCGGAGAGGAAAGGGGAACUCCCCGUGUAGCGGUGAAAUGCGUAGAUAUUGGGAAGAACACCGGUGGCGAAGGCGCCUUUCUGGACUGUGUCUGACGCUCAGAUGCGAAAGCCAGGGUAGCGAACGGGAUUAGAUACCCCGGUAGUCCUGGCCGUAAACGAUGGGUACUAGGUGUGGGAGGUAUCGACUCCUUCCGUGCCGGAGUUAACGCAAUAAGUACCCCGCCUGGGGAGUACGGCCGCAAGGCUUAAACUCAAAGGAAUUGACGGGG
Molecule: ribosomal RNA, 396 nt
Filed under: uncultured bacterium
Lineage: Bacteria
Description: partial 16S ribosomal RNA
Rfam family: Bacterial small subunit ribosomal RNA
Source: RNAcentral